AAUAGAUACCCCGGUAGUCCACGCCGUAAACGAUGUCGACUUGGAGGUUGUGCCCUUGAGGCGUGGCUUCCGGAGCUAACGCGUUAAGUCGACCGCCUGGGGAGUACGGCCGCAAGGUUAAAACUCAAAUGAAUUGACGGGGGCCCGCACAAGCGGUGGAGCAUGUGGUUUAAUUCGAUGCAACGCGAAGAACCUUACCUACUCUUGACAUCCAGAGAACUUUCCAGAGAUGGAUUGGUGCCUUCGGGAACUCUGAGACAGGUGCUGCAUGGCUGUCGUCAGCUCGUGUUGUGAAAUGUUGGGUUAAGUCCCGCAACGAGCGCAACCCUUAUCCUUUGUUGCCAGCGGUUUAGGCCGGGAACUCAAAGGAGACUGCCAGUGAUAAACUGGAGGAAGGUGGGGAUGACGUCAAGUCAUCAUGGCCCUUACGGAGUAGGGCUACACACGUGCUACAAUGGCGCAUACAAAGAGAAGCGACCUCGCGAGAGCAAGCGGACCUCAUAAAGUGCGUCGUAGUCCGGAUUGGAGU
This 529-nucleotide ribosomal RNA is filed under the name uncultured bacterium. Its description in RNAcentral is "bacterial SSU rRNA". It matches the Rfam family "Bacterial small subunit ribosomal RNA", at positions 777 to 1304 of the family's 1533-position model. The record is from RNAcentral.